RNAcentral lists this ribosomal RNA (1214 nucleotides) under Klebsiella sp. RNAcentral's name for it is "bacterial SSU rRNA". It matches the Rfam family "Bacterial small subunit ribosomal RNA", at positions 34 to 1249 of the family's 1533-position model. Lineage: Bacteria; Pseudomonadati; Pseudomonadota; Gammaproteobacteria; Enterobacterales; Enterobacteriaceae. The record is from RNAcentral.
GGCAGGGCGGCAGGCUACACAUGCAGUCGAGCGGUAGCACAGAGAGCUUGCUCUCGGGUGACGAGCGGCGGACGGGUGAGUAAUGUCUGGGAAACUGCCUGAUGGAGGGGGAUAACUACUGGAAACGGUAGCUAAUACCGCAUAAUGUCGCAAGACCAAAGUGGGGGACCUUCGGGCCUCAUGCCAUCAGAUGUGCCCAGAUGGGAUUAGCUAGUAGGUGGGGUAACGGCUCACCUAGGCGACGAUCCCUAGCUGGUCUGAGAGGAUGACCAGCCACACUGGAACUGAGACACGGUCCAGACUCCUACGGGAGGCAGCAGUGGGGAAUAUUGCACAAUGGGCGCAAGCCUGAUGCAGCCAUGCCGCGUGUGUGAAGAAGGCCUUCGGGUUGUAAAGCACUUUCAGCGGGGAGGAAGGCGAUAAGGUUAAUAACCUUGUCGAUUGACGUUACCCGCAGAAGAAGCACCGGCUAACUCCGUGCCAGCAGCCGCGGUAAUACGGAGGGUGCAAGCGUUAAUCGGAAUUACUGGGCGUAAAGCGCACGCAGGCGGUCUGUCAAGUCGGAUGUGAAAUCCCCGGGCUCAACCUGGGAACUGCAUUCGAAACUGGCAGGCUAGAGUCUUGUAGAGGGGGGUAGAAUUCCAGGUGUAGCGGUGAAAUGCGUAGAGAUCUGGAGGAAUACCGGUGGCGAAGGCGGCCCCCUGGACAAAGACUGACGCUCAGGUGCGAAAGCGUGGGGAGCAAACAGGAUUAGAUACCCUGGUAGUCCACGCCGUAAACGAUGUCGAUUUGGAGGUUGUGCCCUUGAGGCGUGGCUUCCGGAGCUAACGCGUUAAAUCGACCGCCUGGGGGAGUACGGCCGCAAGGUUAAAACUCAAAUGAAUUGACGGGGGCCCGCACAAGCGGUGGAGCAUGUGGUUUAAUUCGAUGCAACGCGAAGAACCUUACCUGGUCUUGACAUCCACAGAACUUUCCAGAGAUGCAUUGGUGCCUUCGGGAACUGUGAGACAGGUGCUGCAUGGCUGUCGUCAGCUCGUGUUGUGAAAUGUUGGGUUAAGUCCGCAACGAGCGCAACCCUUAUCUUUGUGCCAGCGGUUCGGCCGGCAACUCAAGAGACUGCAGUGAUAAACUGGAAGAAGUGAGAUGACGGUCAAGUUCAUCAUGGCUACGAUCAGGACUACCACGUGCCUACAAUGGCAUAUUACCAAAGGAGG